GCCGGGCACAGUGGUGCAUAUCUGUAAUCCCAGCUGCUUGGAAGGCUGAGGCAGGAGGCUCACAAGUUCGUUGCCAGCCUCAGCAAAAGCAAGGCGCUAAGCAACUCAGUGAGACUCUGUCUCUA
Molecule: small RNA, 125 nt
Filed under: Marmota monax (woodchuck)
Lineage: Eukaryota; Metazoa; Chordata; Mammalia; Rodentia; Sciuridae
Source: RNAcentral